RNAcentral lists this ribosomal RNA (1131 nucleotides) under Psychrobacter celer. Its description in RNAcentral is "bacterial SSU rRNA". It matches the Rfam family "Bacterial small subunit ribosomal RNA", at positions 137 to 1265 of the family's 1533-position model. Lineage: Bacteria; Pseudomonadati; Pseudomonadota; Gammaproteobacteria; Moraxellales; Moraxellaceae. The record is from RNAcentral.
UGGGGGAUAGCUCGGGGAAACUCGAAUUAAUACCGCAUACGUCCUACGGGAGAAAGGGGGCAGUUUACUGCUCUCGCUAUUAGAUGAGCCUAAGUCGGAUUAGCUAGUUGGUGGGGUAAAGGCCUACCAAGGCGACGAUCUGUAGCUGGUCUGAGAGGAUGAUCAGCCACACCGGGACUGAGACACGGCCCGGACUCCUACGGGAGGCAGCAGUGGGGAAUAUUGGACAAUGGGGGAAACCCUGAUCCAGCCAUGCCGCGUGUGUGAAGAAGGCCUUUUGGUUGUAAAGCACUUUAAGCAGUGAAGAAGACCUAACGGUUAAUACCCGUUAGCGAUGACAUUAGCUGCAGAAUAAGCACCGGCUAACUCUGUGCCAGCAGCCGCGGUAAUACAGAGGGUGCAAGCGUUAAUCGGAAUUACUGGGCGUAAAGCGAGCGUAGGUGGCUUGAUAAGUCAGAUGUGAAAUCCCCGGGCUUAACCUGGGAACUGCAUCUGAUACUGUUAAGCUAGAGUAGGUGAGAGGGAAGUAGAAUUCCAGGUGUAGCGGUGAAAUGCGUAGAGAUCUGGAGGAAUACCGAUGGCGAAGGCAGCUUCCUGGCAUCAUACUGACACUGAGGCUCGAAAGCGUGGGUAGCAAACAGGAUUAGAUACCCUGGUAGUCCACGCCGUAAACGAUGUCUACUAGUCGUUGGGUCCCUUGAGGACUUAGUGACGCAGCUAACGCAAUAAGUAGACCGCCUGGGGAGUACGGCCGCAAGGUUAAAACUCAAAUGAAUUGACGGGGGCCCGCACAAGCGGUGGAGCAUGUGGUUUAAUUCGAUGCAACGCGAAGAACCUUACCUGGUCUUGACAUACACAGAAUCUUGUAGAGAUACGAGAGUGCCUUCGGGAAUUGUGAUACAGGUGCUGCAUGGCUGUCGUCAGCUCGUGUCGUGAGAUGUUGGGUUAAGUCCCGCAACGAGCGCAACCCUUGUCCUUAGUUACCAGCGGGUUAAGCCGGGAACUCUAAGGAUACUGCCAGUGACAAACUGGAGGAAGGCGGGGACGACGUCAAGUCAUCAUGGCCCUUACGACCAGGGCUACACACGUGCUACAAUGGUAGGUACAGAGGGCAGCUACACAGCGAUGUGA